Molecule: ribosomal RNA, 175 nt
Filed under: Bacillus thuringiensis
Lineage: Bacteria; Bacillati; Bacillota; Bacilli; Caryophanales; Bacillaceae
Description: partial 16S ribosomal RNA
Rfam family: Bacterial small subunit ribosomal RNA
Source: RNAcentral
UUUAUUGGAGAGUUUGAUCCUGGCUCAGGAUGAACGCUGGCGGCGUGCCUAAUACAUGCAAGUCGAGCGAAUGGAUUAAGAGCCUGCUCUUAUGAAGUUAGCGGCGGACGGGUGAGUAACACGUGGGUAACCUGCCCAUAAGACUGGGAUAACUCCGGGAAACCGGGGCUAAUAC